UAGAUGCGAGAGUAGAGCAUAUCAAUAAGCGGAGGAAAAGAAACUAACAAGGAUUCCCUUAGUAACGGCGAGUGAAGCGGGAAGAGCUCAAAUUUGAAAUCUUCAAGGUUUUACCUUGACGAAUUGUAGUUUAAAGAAGUGUUUUCUGUUGAAGUUUUGGUAAAAGUUCUUUGGAAUAGGACAUCAUAGAGGGUGAGAAUCCCGUAUUUGACCAUUAUUUUCAGCUGUGUGAUACACUUUCAAAGAGUCGGAUUGUUUGGGAAUGCAGUCCAAAAUGGGUGGUAAAUUUCAUCUAAAGCUAAAUAUUGGCGAGAGACCGAUAGCGAACAAGUACCGUGAGGGAAAGAUGAAAAGAACUUUGAAAAGAGAGUUAAACAGUACGUGAAAUUGUCAAAAGGGAAGCGUUUGACACCAGUGUUGUUUUUCCAAAAAUCAAUUACGAAUGGCUUGAUUUUGUGUUGUAUUGACCUUAUCAGCUUUCUGCACUUUUUUCGAGUCUUUCUUAAUGCACUUUUUGGUUAACAAGUCAACAUCAAUUUCUUUUGUUGUAAAAGAGUAUUCGGAAGGUGGCUUUCUUUUCGGAGAAAGUGUUUAUAGCCCUAUACUUCUACAAUCGGAGAGAUUGAGGUCUGCAGCGUAGAUCCUUCGGGGUUAGAUACACUUGUGCUAAGUUGUAGCUUUUCAUAGACAACUUGUUGACUAUGUUUAGUCAUGCGGCUUACUCGCUUGUGCUAUUUUACCUACGCUUAGGAUGUUGACGCAUGAGAUAUACGC
Molecule: ribosomal RNA, 774 nt
Filed under: uncultured Neocallimastigales
Lineage: Eukaryota; Fungi; Neocallimastigomycota; Neocallimastigomycetes; Neocallimastigales
Description: partial large subunit ribosomal RNA
Rfam family: Eukaryotic large subunit ribosomal RNA
Source: RNAcentral